Long non-coding RNA from Jatropha curcas, 1426 nucleotides. RefSeq lists it as uncharacterized. The record is from RefSeq and is a predicted model, not a curated record. NCBI's taxonomy places the organism in Eukaryota, Viridiplantae, Streptophyta, Magnoliopsida, Malpighiales, Euphorbiaceae.
AAAAAUGAAAGGUACAUUGCAAAUGCAGAAUCAGAAAAAAAAAAAAAAGAAAAAAAAAGGCCUGAACACCUAACAAUAACCUUUCUCUUUUCUACUGGACCUUGUAGUUGAUCACCGAAUGUGGAAUCUGAUAUCCUUAUUCUUUGGAUUUUGAGUCUUCAGUGCAAUUUCAGAUUAAACACGAUAGGCGAGGAGACUACAGUCCUGCACGUCUCUUCUUAUUAUCCAAACGAUCCUCUCGUCCUCAAAUUUGAUGCUCUUCUCCCAUAAACUCCUCCGAUUCGGUUCCCUCCUCCGGCAAUGGCUUCUCCAGUAAUUUUUGCACUAUAGAAGGACCGGAGACUAUAGGAUUUUGUGCAGAUGCAACUUCAGGAAAUUCAAGAUGAUAUAAGGAGUAGACGCGAUAAUAUCUUUUUGCUAUUUCUCCAUUUAUUCAUGUUUUAAAUUUAAAUUCCUGCGUUCUAUUUCAGCGUUUGUGAUUAGGUGAGGAGAACACUUUUAAAGUUCUGUUUCCUUGUCUAUCUUGUGCUCAAGCAAGCUUUCUACAGAUCUCCCCAUUUUUCCCUCUUCACUUACUCAACUCUGCUGCAUGUCAUUAUCAAUUUCUGCAUUCCCAACACUUGAUGAUGUUAUGUUUUUCUAUUAUUGUAAACUAAUCUAUUUUCCUCCAUUCUGUCUCACAACACCACACAAAGAACAAGUAUUAUUUUGCACGCGACCAACCUACACUAUGAAAUACAGAAAAGGAUGACCGAGGAGGAUUAAGAUAGAUGGUGAAGGAAUGAUUACCUGAAUUACAAAGCAACAAGUAUACGUGCUUAAGUCAUCACAAACAAACCAUUCACAAGGUGAUGAGUGAAGUGACUGUAGGGACUUUGCUGCCUUCUGUUUUUCCUCCUCCCCAGCUGCAACCACUGCAGUCAUUGUUGAUGCUGCCACUGCUGCAGCCACCUCUGAUUUGUAUACUCGAGAGCUACAAGAUGAAUAGACUUUUGUGCGUGAUUGGACGUAAGAUGCUGCUGAUGCUGCAAUCUCAUAAACAGACGAGGGAAGUGCGCGCUUCUUCUGCUUGGAGUCCUCAUCUUCCUCCAAUUUGGAUUUGACAAGGGAAGCAACAGGUAAAUAUGUAGAGUCCUUGACAAGUUUUGCUUUUACAGCAGCUGCCUCUGCUUUCUUUUCCAAGGAAGACGUUACAAAUCUUAGCCCAUAGUAUCUUCUCAAAUCCAUGGCCUGCAAAUUGAUAGAUGAAGUACUUAUGUGAACUAGAUAAUUUUAUCUGCAUGUUUGUUUGAAGCUUUAUUUCUUCGGGAAGGUUGGGAAACUACUGAGGCUUAUGCUUUCUUUGGAUCAAACAAUGAAUGAGAAACGAACGGAGAGGGAAAUUUUCUUGAAGCUGCUUGACUAAUAUACUUGCCUUUCUUGUCCU